This 1339-nucleotide ribosomal RNA is filed under the name uncultured bacterium. RNAcentral's name for it is "bacterial SSU rRNA". It matches the Rfam family "Bacterial small subunit ribosomal RNA", at positions 45 to 1400 of the family's 1533-position model. The record is from RNAcentral.
UGCCUAACACAUGCAAGUCGAGCGAUAAGCACCUUCGGGUGUGGAAAGCGGCGAACGGGUGAGUAACACGUGAGGAACCUACCCCGGUCUUCGGGAUAACAGCGGGAAACCGUUGCUAAUACCGGAUAUCCCAUCCCCACCGCAUGGCGGAGAUGGGAAAGAUUUAUCGGACCGGGAUGGCCUCGCGGCCUAUCAGCUAGUUGGUGGGGUAACGGCCUACCAAGGCUACGACGGGUAGCUGGCGUGAGAGCGUGGCCAGCCACACUGGGACUGAGAUACGGCCCAGACUCCUACGGGAGGCAGCAGUGGGGAAUCUUGCACAAUGGGCGAAAGCCUGAUGCAGCGACGCCGCGUGAGGGAUGAAGGCCUUAGGGUUGUAAACCUCUUUCAGCAGGGACGAAGCGAAAGUGACGGUACCUGCAGAAGAAGCCCCGGCUAACUACGUGCCAGCAGCCGCGGUAAUACGUAGGGGGCGAGCGUUGUCCGGAUUUAUUGGGCGUAAAGAGCGCGUAGGUGGUCGGUAAAGUCGGAUGUGAAAGUCCAGGGCUCAACCCUGGGAUGCCAUUCGAUACUUGCUGACUAGAGCAUGGUAGGGGGAUCUGGAAUUCCUGGUGUAGCGGUGAAAUGCGCAGAUAUCAGGAGGAACACCGGUGGCGAAGGCGGGAUCCUGGGCCAUUGCUGACACUGAGGCGCGAAAGCUGGGGGAGCGAACAGGAUUAGAUACCCUGGUAGUCCCAGCCGUAAACGAUGGGUGCUAGGUGUGGGGAGCUAUCGACGCUUUCCGUGCCGCAGCUAACGCAUUAAGCACCCCGCCUGGGGAGUACGGCCGCAAGGCUAAAACUCAAAGGAAUUGACGGGGGCCCGCACAAGCGGCGGAGCAUGUGGCUUAAUUCGAUGCAACGCGAAGAACCUUACCUGGGCUUGACAUCAAGGGAAAAGCCGUAGAGAUACGGCCUCCGUAAGGGCCUCUGACAGGUGGUGCAUGGCUGUCGUCAGCUCGUGCCGUGAGGUGUUGGGUUAAGUCCCGCAACGAGCGCAACCCCCGUCUUUAGUUGCCAGCACGUGAUGGUGGGGACUCUAGAGAGACUGCCGGCGUUGAGCCGGAGGAAGGUGGGGAUGACGUCAAGUCAUCAUGCCCUUUAUGUCCAGGGCUGCACACAUGCUACAAUGCCGGCCACAAUGGGCUGCGACCCCGCGAGGGUGAGCGAAUCCCAAAAAAGCUGGCUAAGUUCGGAUUGCAGUCUGCAACUCGACUGCAUGAAGUUGGAGUCGCUAGUAAUCGCGGAUCAGCAACGCCGCGGUGAAUACGUUCCCGGGCCUUGCACACACCGCCCGUCAC